This is a long non-coding RNA of Ictalurus punctatus (channel catfish), 567 nucleotides long. Lineage: Eukaryota; Metazoa; Chordata; Actinopteri; Siluriformes; Ictaluridae. The record is from Ensembl.
GUUUGAGGUGCUAAGGAUGUUUAUUUUUCUGUCCAUUCACGUGGUUUUGUUUCGUUCUCGCCACCGGCGUAUUUGUAGCAGCCCCGUGAGAUCUGUUUAAUCCUGCUGGGUUUUAGACGAGUUUAGCUCUCACUCUUAUCAGAGAGACAGUGAGACAGAUACUGAGACAGACCGACAGUGACUAGGAGAGAUGGUUAGAUAGAUAGACAGACAAAAGAGGGCAGGCAGACUGAGAGAGUAAGACAUACGUGUGACAGGCAGACAGUGAGACAGUAAAACAGACAGUGAGACGGGCAGAGAGGCCGACAGUAAGGCAGACAGUGAGACAGUAAAACAGACAGUGACGAGCAGAGAGUCAGACAGUAAGGCAGACAGUGAGACGGGCAGAGAGUCCGACAGUAAAACAACAGUGUGACGGGCAGAGAGUCAGACAGUAAGGCAGACAGUGAGACAGUAAGGCAGACAGUGAGACGGGCAGAGAGUCAGACAGUAAGGGCAGACAUGUGAUGGGCAGAGAGUCAGACAGUAAGGCAGACAGUGAGACGUAGGCAGACAGUGAGACGGGCA